AACGAACGCUGGCGGCAGGCUUAACACAUGCAAGUCGAACGCAUCCUUCGGGGUGAGUGGCAGACGGGUGAGUAACGCGUGGGAACGUGCCCUUCAGUUCGGGAUAACCCAGGGAAACUUGGGCUAAUACCGGAUACGUGCGAGAGCAGAAAGAUCUAUCGCUGAAGGAUCGGCCCGCGUCUGAUUAGCUAGUUGGUGGGGUAAUGGCCCACCAAGGCGACGAUCAGUAGCUGGUCUGAGAGGAUGAUCAGCAACAUUGGGACUGAGACACGGCCCAAACUCCUACGGGAGGCAGCAGUGGGGAAUAUUGGACAAUGGGCGCAAGCCUGAUCCAGCCAUGCCGCGUGAGUGAUGAAGGCCUUAGGGUUGUAAAGCCCUUUCGUCCGGGACGAUAAUGACGGUACCGGAAGAAGAAGCCCCGGCUAACUUCGUGCCAGCCGCCGCAGUAA
Molecule: ribosomal RNA, 449 nt
Filed under: uncultured bacterium
Lineage: Bacteria
Description: partial 16S ribosomal RNA
Rfam family: Bacterial small subunit ribosomal RNA
Source: RNAcentral